AGUGUUUUCUUGCAGGGGGAGUAGGAAUUAUGUUCCAGGGAUAAUAGACCAGAGAAGGUGGACCCCAUUUAGGUAAGGAGGCAAGAAAUGUUCCCUCCUCCCCCACUGCAGGAAAAGCCACUAAAUACAAACCUGUGGGAGUAGAUUCCUAACUCCUUGUUCUAUAAAAAGGCUUCUAGACCAGCAAGACAAGGGGAGGGAGAACUUCAGUAUGAGUGACUGACACAGUUAAAGUGACGUCCUUUUUCUGGUUCAGAAUACAAUCCAGAAUCCUGGACAUACACUAAUUGCACUUAGUUGUUUUGUCUCCAUGGUCUAGUUUAAUCUGUGUAUAUUAGUCCAUUCUCACACUGCUAUAAAGAACUACCUGCCCUGCGUGGUGUCUCACGCCUGUAAUCCCAGCACUUUGGGAGGCUGAGGCAGGUGGAUUGCCUGAGGUCAGGAGUUCAAGACCAGCCUGGCCAACAUAGGGAAAUCCUGUCGCUAAUAAAAAUAUUUGGGGACUGAGAUAUAUUCAGAUAUUGACUGCCUAAGAACUAGUCACCCUGAAAGGUUCACAGAGGACAAAUUAUUGGGUCAAAUUAAAAUGACCUAUUGGAAGGUAUUGGAAGCAUUAAGCAAACACUGAGCUGACACUACAGGC
RNAcentral lists this long non-coding RNA (643 nucleotides) under Pan troglodytes (chimpanzee). RNAcentral describes it as "long non-coding RNA NONPTRT011415". The record is from RNAcentral. Lineage: Eukaryota; Metazoa; Chordata; Mammalia; Primates; Hominidae.